CUAGCUACAGGCUUAACACAUGCAAGUCGAGGGGCAGCAUGGUCUUAGCUUGCUAAGGCCGAUGGCGACCGGCGCACGGGUGAGUAACACGUAUCCAACCUGCCGUCUACUCUUGGACAGCCUUCUGAAAGGAAGAUUAAUACAAGAUGGCAUCAUGAGUCCGCAUGUUCACAUGAUUAAAGGUAUUCCGGUAGACGAUGGGGAUGCGUUCCAUUAGAUAGUAGGCGGGGUAACGGCCCACCUAGUCUUCGAUGGAUAGGGGUUCUGAGAGGAAGGUCCCCCACAUUGGAACUGAGACACGGUCCAAACUCCUACGGGAGGCAGCAGUGAGGAAUAUUGGUCAAUGGGCGAGAGCCUGAACCAGCCAAGUAGCGUGAAGGAUGACUGCCCUAUGGGUUGUAAACUUCUUUUAUAAAGGAAUAAAGUCGGGUAUGGAUACCCGUUUGCAUGUACUUUAUGAAUAAGGAUCGGCUGACUCCGUGCCAGCAGCCGCGGUAAUACGGAGGAUCCGAGCGUUAUCCGGAUUUAUUGGGUUUAAAGGGAGCGUAGAUGGAUGUUUAAGUCAGUUGUGAAAGUUUGCGGCUCAACCGUAAAAUUGCAGUUGAUACUGGAUAUCUUGAGUGCAGUUGAGGCAGGCGGAAUUCGUGGUGUAGCGGUGAAAUGCUUAGAUAUCACGAAGAACUCCGAUUGCGAAGGCAGCCUGCUAAGCUGCAACUGACAUUGAGGCUCGAAAGUGUGGGUAUCAAACAGGAUUAGAUACCCUGGUAGUCCACACGGUAAACGAUGAAUACUCGCUGUUUGCGAUAUACUGCAAGCGGCCAAGCGAAAGCGUUAAGUAUUCCACCUGGGGAGUACGCCGGCAACGGUGAAACUCAAAGGAAUUGACGGGGGCCCGCACAAGCGGAGGAACAUGUGGUUUAAUUCGAUGAUACGCGAGGAACCUUACCCGGGCUUAAAUUGCAGAUGAAUUACGGUGAAAGCCGUAAGCCGCAAGGCAUCUGUGAAGGUGCUGCAUGGUUGUCGUCAGCUCGUGCCGUGAGGUGUCGGCUUAAGUGCCAUAACGAGCGCAACCCUUGUUGUCAGUUACUAACAGGUUCCGCUGAGGACUCUGACAAGACUGCCAUCGUAAGAUGUGAGGAAGGUGGGGAUGACGUCAAAUCAGCACGGCCCUUACGUCCGGGGCUACACACGUGUUACAAUGGGGGGUACAGAGGGCCGCUACCACGCGAGUGGAUGCCAAUCCCCAAAACCUCUCUCAGUUCGGACUGGAGUCUGCAACCCGACUCCACGAAGCUGGAUUCGCUAGUAAUCGCGCAUCAGCCACGGCGCGGUGAAUACGUUCCCGGGCCUUGUACACACCGCCCGUCAAGCCAUGGGAGCCGGGGGUACCUGAAGUGCGUAACCGCGAGGAGCGCCCUAGGGUAAAACUGGUGACUGGGGC
RNAcentral lists this ribosomal RNA (1441 nucleotides) under uncultured organism. RNAcentral's name for it is "16S ribosomal RNA". It matches the Rfam family "Bacterial small subunit ribosomal RNA". The record is from RNAcentral.